Molecule: transfer RNA, 76 nt
Filed under: Mesomycoplasma hyorhinis
Lineage: Bacteria; Bacillati; Mycoplasmatota; Mycoplasmoidales; Metamycoplasmataceae
Also listed under: 7 other names
Description: Mycoplasma hyorhinis tRNA-His(gtg)
Rfam family: tRNA
About the family: Transfer RNA (tRNA) molecules are approximately 80 nucleotides in length.
Source: RNAcentral
GCGGAUGUGGCGAAGUGGUUAACGCAUCGGGUUGUGGCUCCGACAUACGCGGGUUCAAUCCCCGUCAUCUGCCCCA